Molecule: long non-coding RNA, 750 nt
Organism: Cephus cinctus (wheat stem sawfly)
Lineage: Eukaryota; Metazoa; Arthropoda; Insecta; Hymenoptera; Cephidae
Exons: 2
Source: RefSeq, a predicted model, not a curated record
CUGUAAUCAAAUAGUUAAUCUUAGAAUCUUCACUCUCAGCAAGAGUGUAACAAAGAAACUAGCGGAGCUAAUGUCUGUGAUCAGUGAAGCCUACAGUCGAACGCCGUGCGUCCGAUCUUCAUGGCGUCUCUAACUUUCAGCAGAUAUCCAAAGGUAAGAAACUGCGUAAAAUCAAGGAUUAUAUUAAUAUUUUUAACCGAUUAGUCAUUGACUUCAAGGCGUUCUUAAUUUCAUUCAUAUUUUUUCUUGCGUAAUCGAAACCGUCAACGAAAAAUGUCAACAAUGUGAAAAUGCGCACGUCGAUAAAAAAACGAGGACUCUCAGGAAGGUGGAAAAGGAGGCUGGGAAAAUUGUGACAGAAAGUAUCAGAGAAGCGAGAGCGUUCCAUUCAUACAAGAACGAGGUAUUUAUUAUGCAGCCAGCAGUUAAGCCUACACGCGUGUAAUAUAAAAGGAGAUAUUAUGCCACUAACAUCGAUGCUCUGACGCUACCUGAAAAGAGGAGGGUGACGACAUCGCACUGUCAAGAAUAUCAAGUAACUCGCCGAUACUCUAAAACGUACGAUAUACUAUAUUCUAUCAGCUGAUCUCGUACACGGGAAACCAAUAUCUCCUUUGACGCAAUCAAAAAUUGAUUGAUGAAAAUCAGUAUUGAUAUUCAAAAUCAGACAAAUGCGACGAACUUUUCCAUUUGUCCUGGAUAUAUGAUACGUCGUAAUGUAGGUAAUAAAAGUUAAUUAAUGCGACACUA